AUUUGUCUGGUUAAUUCCGAUAACGAACGAGACCUUAACCUGCUAACUAGAUUCUUCUAUACUAUAGAUGAUAUCUUCUUAGAGGGACUAUGUAAUACAAAUACAUGGAAGUUUGAGGCAAUAACAGGUCAGUGAUGCCCUUAUAUGUCCUGGGCUGCACGCGUGCUACACUGAUGCAUACAACAAGUGCCUAACCAGACAUGGUAUGGCAAUCUCGAAUAUGCAUCGUGAUGGGGAUAGAUCUUUGCAAUUAUAGAUCUUGAACGAGGAAUUCCUAGUAAGUGCAAGUCAUCAUCUUGCAUUGAUUAUGUCCCUGCCCUUUGUACACACCGCCCGUCGCUCCUACCGAUACCGGGUGAUCCGGUGAACCUUUUGGACUCAUUUGGGAAAGAUAAGUAAACCAUAUCACCUAGAGGAAGGAGAAGUCGUAACAAGGUUUCCGUAGGUGAACCUGCRGAAGGAUCA
This 465-nucleotide ribosomal RNA is filed under the name uncultured ciliate. RNAcentral describes it as "SSU rRNA". It matches the Rfam family "Eukaryotic small subunit ribosomal RNA". The record is from RNAcentral. Lineage: Eukaryota; Ciliophora.